GACAUCUUGGCGGAGUGGUUAACGCGACAGACUUGAAUUAUAUUGAUAUCUGUUUCCCCAGGGAGCGUAGGUUCAAGUCCUGCAGAUGUCG
This is a non-coding RNA of Leptodontidium sp. MPI-SDFR-AT-0119, 91 nucleotides long. The record is from the annotation of a GenBank genome assembly. Lineage: Eukaryota; Fungi; Ascomycota; Leotiomycetes; Helotiales; Leptodontidiaceae.